AUGCGUGGAAUUCAUGCAAUCAACAACGCCAUAGUUACCUUACUACCUAAGGUGGAUGGCGCGGUGGACGUGAAAGAUUUUCGGCCCGUGAGCCUUGUACAUGGAGUGAUAAAAAUCUUCGACAAAGCUCUAGCAAACAGAUUGGUGAUCGAGCUCCCUAGGCUAGCUGGAAACCACCAGAGUGCCUUUUUCAAAGGGCGAUCGAUACACAAUAAUUUCAUGUUGGUCCAAUGCACUGCUCGUCGACUCCAUGCACUAAAGGGGGCCACAAUUAUGCUCAAGUUGGACGUACUAAAGCGGUCGAAAUAG
Molecule: ribosomal RNA, 309 nt
Filed under: Triticum aestivum (bread wheat)
Lineage: Eukaryota; Viridiplantae; Streptophyta; Magnoliopsida; Poales; Poaceae
Description: partial small subunit ribosomal RNA
Source: RNAcentral